UAUAAUGCCUCUAACAUAUCGCACUGCCCAAUAUGGUAAACAUACACUAGCAAACUAAAGUAAAGUCUAUUUUCCUGACCUUUCGAGCCAUUAUGUCUUUCUUAAACGUCAUUGAUCCUAACUCGGUAAGAUAUAUCUAUGUAGCAAAUUCUUCGAACUGGUUCUUCUGAAACUCCACAUUAAAGAGCUCGGAAGAAAAAGCAUGCCACUCUUGUGGACUGGCAACCAUUCAAACUAUGUAUGUCGAGAUUUUAACUAAGUAUGAACAAUCUAACUAUGGCUUAGCAGAUUCUGCAUCGCUCAUACUAGGCUCUCCUAUAGACGAAGCGCCCACAAGUCCUUUUGGAUUCCAUCUAGCUCACCGUCUUGGAACUCUAAAAUCCAGCCAGCUCUACUAGUCUAUAUAGUACAUUAGAAACCAUUUCCUGUUAGUGGUAAUAUAUCUAACCGUCUAUAUAAAUCAUACAUCAUAGUAUUCAAACUUAGCUAAUGUUUUAUUCAAAUCCAUUUUUAAAACAAACUAAAACAUUGAUAAAAAAAAAGAAAAAAACAAACUAAAACACAACUAUUUUAAGUUGAUUGAGGCAACCGCGUCUAAAUUCACAUUUAUCCAUCGACCUAAAGAAAAGUAAAUUCGUACAUGUUUGAUUAAAACAGCUGUUUGUUUCGACAAAGUAAAGUUUAUACAAUGUGGAUACCCUUAUACCCACCAACGGAAUACGAUAUAUAAUUGUGUGAAUGAACCGACAACGAACAAUAUGAUUAUCUUAAUGACCAGAAAAUGGUCCAUUAAAGGGAACAUAUUCCAGUGAUGGAGAAUACAAAGUUGACCAUAUCUAGCCCAUGCAGAAAGAAGAGAUCAUUUUAGAAAUCAAUAAGCA
This 881-nucleotide long non-coding RNA is filed under the name Brassica rapa (field mustard). RNAcentral's name for it is "long non-coding RNA (BRAP_LNC004664)". Lineage: Eukaryota; Viridiplantae; Streptophyta; Magnoliopsida; Brassicales; Brassicaceae. The record is from RNAcentral.